AACGAACGCUGGCGGCAUGCCUAACACAUGCAAGUCGAACGAGACCUUCGGGUCUAGUGGCGCACGGGUGCGUAACGCGUGGGAACCUGCCCUUAGGUUCGGAAUAACUCCCCGAAAGGGGUGCUAAUACCGGAUAAUGUCUUCGGACCAAAGAUUUAUCGCCUUUGGAUGGGCCCGCGUUGGAUUAGCUAGUUGGUAGUGUAAAAGCCUACCAAGGCGACGAUCCAUAGCUGGUCUGAGAGGAUGAUCAGCCACACUGGGACUGAGACACGGCCCAGACUCCUACGGGAGGAAGCAGUGGGGAAUAUUGGACAAUGGGCGAAAGCCUGAUCCAGCAAUGCCGCGUGAGUGAUGAAGGCCUUAGGGUUGUAAAGCUCUUUUACCCGGGAUGAUAAUGACAGUACCGGGAGAAUAAGCUCCGGCUAACUCCGUG
Molecule: ribosomal RNA, 433 nt
Filed under: uncultured bacterium
Lineage: Bacteria
Description: partial 16S ribosomal RNA
Rfam family: Bacterial small subunit ribosomal RNA
Source: RNAcentral